This 254-nucleotide ribosomal RNA is filed under the name uncultured bacterium. Its description in RNAcentral is "partial 16S ribosomal RNA". It matches the Rfam family "Bacterial small subunit ribosomal RNA", at positions 524 to 776 of the family's 1533-position model. The record is from RNAcentral.
UACGUAGGGUGCAAGCGUUGUCCGGAAUUAUUGGGCGUAAAGAGCUCGUAGGCGGCUUGUCGCGUCGGCCGUGAAAACCUGCAGCUUAACUGUGGGCGUGCGGUCGAUACGGGCAUCACUGGAGUUCGGCAGGGGAGACUGGAAUUCCUGGUGUAGCGGUGAAAUGCGCAGAUAUCAGGAGGAACACCGGUGGCGAAGGCGGGUCUCUGGGCCGAUACUGACGCUGAGGAGCGAAAGCGUGGGGAGCAAACAGG